CCUACGGGAGGCAGCAGUGGGGAAUAUUGGGCAAUGGGCGCAAGCCUGACCCAGCCACGCCGCGUGAAGGAAGAAGGCUCUCGGGAUGUUAACCUCCUUUAAGCGGGAAGAGAAGAUGACGGUACCUCCUGCAUAAGGUAUGGCUAACUACGUGCCAGCAGCCGCGGCAAUACGUAGGUGGGCAGCGAUGUCCGGAUUUACUGGGUGUAAAGGGUGUGUAGUGGGGCGGAAAAGUCAGGUGUGAAAUGCCGGGGGUCAACCCCGGUCCUGCAUUUGAAACUGUUGGUCUUGAGUAUCGGAGAGGCAGGCGGAAUUCCUGGUGUAGCGGUGAAAUGCGUAGAUAUUAGGAAGAACACCGGUGGCGAAGGCAGCCUGCUGGACGGCAACUGACGGUGAGGCGCGAAAGCGUGGGGAGCGAACAGGAUUAGAUACCCUUGUAGUC
This 442-nucleotide ribosomal RNA is filed under the name uncultured bacterium. RNAcentral's name for it is "partial 16S ribosomal RNA". It matches the Rfam family "Bacterial small subunit ribosomal RNA", at positions 338 to 795 of the family's 1533-position model. The record is from RNAcentral.